UUAAGUGACUAAGCGUAUACGGUGGAUGCCUUGGCAGUUAGAGGCGAUGAAGGACGUGUAAGUCUGCGAAAAGCUGUGGUGAGCCGACAAAAUGCAUUUGAGCCACAGAUGUCCGAAUGGGGAAACCCACCUAUUUAUAGGUAUCGUUACAUGAAUAUAUAGUGUAACGAGGCGAACGAGGGGAACUGAAACAUCUAAGUACCCUUAGGAAAAGAAAUCAACCGAGAUUCCCCUAGUAGCGGCGAGCGAACGGGGAUUAGCCCUUAAGCAAUUUUGGAUUUAGUGGAAGCCUCUGGGAAGUGGCGCGAUACAGGGUGAUAGCCCCGUACACGAAGAAACCAUUGUUGUGAAAUCGAGUAGGUCGGGACACGUGUUAUCUUGACUGAAUAUGGGGGGACCAUCCUCCAAGGCUAAAUACUCCUAACUGACCGAUAGUGAACCAGUACCGUGAGGGAAAGGCGAAAAGAACCCCUGUGAGGGGAGUGAAAUAGAACCUGAAACCGUAUACGUACAAGCAGUGGGAGCGUGACUGCGUACCUUUUGUAUAAUGGGUCAGCGACUUAUAUUUAGUAGCAAGGUUAAGCGAAUAGCGGAGCCGUAGCGAAAGCGAGUGUUAACUGCGCGUUUAGUUGCUAGGUAUAGACCCGAAACCCGGUGAUCUAGCCAUGGGCAGGUUGAAGGUUGAGUAACAUCAACUGGAGGACCGAACCCACUAACGUUGAAAAGUUAGGGGAUGACUUGUGGCUGGGGGUGAAAGGCCAAUCAAACCGGGAGAUAGCUGGUUCUCCCCGAAAUCUAUUUAGGUAGAGCCUCGGACGAAUUCCAUUGGGGGUAGAGCACUGUUAAGGCUAGGGGGUCAUCCCGACUUACCAACCCUUUGCAAACUCCGAAUACCAAUGAGAACUAUCCGGGAGACACACGGCGGGUGCUAACGUCCGUCGUGAAGAGGGAAACAACCCAGACCGCCAGCUAAGGUCCCAAAAUAUUGCUAAGUGGGAAACGAUGUGGGAAGGCAUAGACAGCUAGGAGGUUGGCUUAGAAGCAGCCACCCUUUAAAGAAAGCGUAAUAGCUCACUAGUCGAGUCGGCCUGCGCGGAAGAUGUAACGGGGCUAAGCAAUAUACCGAAGCUGCGGAUACGUGUUUACACGUAUGGUAGGGGAGCGUUGUGUAAGUGGAUGAAGGUGGAUUGAGAAGUCUGCUGGACAUAUCACAAGUGCGAAUGCUGACAUGAGUAACGAUAAUGGGAGUGAAAAACUCCCACGCCGGAAGACCAAGGUUUCCUGUCCCAUGCUAAUCAGGGCAGGGUAAGUCGGCCCCUAAGGCGAGGCAGAAAUGCGUAGUCGAUGGGAAACGGAUUAAUAUUUCCGUACUUAUAUAAUCAGUGAUGGAGGGACGGAGAAGGCUAAGCAAGCUUGGCGUUGGUUGUCCAAGUGAAAGCAAGUAGGCCGAGAAUUUAGGUAAAUCCGGAUUCUUAAAGCUGAGAUGCGAGACGAGCUACUACGGUAGUGAAGUUGUUGAUGCCCUGCUUCCAGGAAAAGCUUCUAAACUUAUGAUUAUAUGAACCGUACCCCAAACCGACACAGGUGGUCAGGUAGAGAAUACUAAGGCGCUUGAGAGAACUCGGGUGAAGGAACUCGGCAAAAUUGUACCGUAACUUCGGGAGAAGGUACGCCCUUGUUUGUGAUAGGACUUGCUCCUUGAGCAGAUGAGGGCCGCAGUGACCAGGUGGCUGGGACUGUUUAUUAAAAACACAGCACUCUGCUAACUCGCAAGAGGACGUAUAGGGUGUGACACCUGCCCGGUGCCGGAAGGUUAAUUGAUGGGGUUAUCUUCGGAGAAGCUCUUGAUCGAAGCCCCGGUAAACGGCGGCCGUAACUAUAACGGUCCUAAGGUAGCGAAAUUCCUUGUCGGGUAAGUUCCGACCUGCACGAAUGGUGUAACCAUGGCCACGCUGUCUCCACCCGAGACUCAGUGAAAUUGAAAUCGCAGUGAAGAUGCUGUGUACCCGCACCUAGACGGAAAGACCCCGUGAACCUUUACUACAGCUUGGCACUGAACAUUGAACCUACAUGUGUAGGAUAGGUGGGAGGCUUCGAAGCACAGUCGCUAGAUUGUGUGGAGCCGUCCUUGAAAUACCACCCUUGUACGUUUGAUGUUCUAACAUUGGUCCCUUAUCGGGAUUAUGGACAGUGUCUGGUGGGUAGUUUGACUGGGGCGGUCUCCUCCCAAAUAGUAACGGAGGAGCACGAAGGUUAGCUAAUCACGGUCGGACAUCGUGAGGUUAGUGCAAUGGCAUAAGCUAGCUUAACUGCGAGACAGACACGUCGAGCAGGUACGAAAGUAGGUCAUAGUGAUCCGGUGGUUCUGUAUGGAAGGGCCAUCGCUCAACGGAUAAAAGGUACUCCGGGGAUAACAGGCUGAUACCGCCCAAGAGUUCAUAUCGACGGCGGUGUUUGGCACCUCGAUGUCGGCUCAUCACAUCCUGGGGCUGAAGUCGGUCCCAAGGGUAUGGCUGUUCGCCAUUUAAAGUGGUACGCGAGCUGGGUUUAGAACGUCGUGAGACAGUUCGGUCCCUAUCUGGUGUGGGCGUUGGAUGAUUGAUGGGAGCUGCUCCUAGUACGAGAGGACCGGAGUGGACGAACCGCUGGUGUUCGGGUUGUCAUGCCAAUGGCAUUGCCCGGUAGCUACGUUCGGAACGGAUAACCGCUGAAAGCAUCUAAGCGGGAAGCCGGCCCAGAGAUGAGUCAUCCCUGACUUUUAAAGUCCGGAAGGGUUGUUAUAGACGAUGACGUUGAUAGGCAGGAUGUGGAAGCGUUGUAAGGCGUUAAGCUAACCUGUACUAAUUGCCCGAGAGGCUUAACCAU
This 2865-nucleotide ribosomal RNA is filed under the name Alteromonas sp. 38. Its description in RNAcentral is "ribosomal RNA 23s ribosomal RNA". It matches the Rfam family "Bacterial large subunit ribosomal RNA". The record is from RNAcentral. Lineage: Bacteria; Pseudomonadati; Pseudomonadota; Gammaproteobacteria; Alteromonadales; Alteromonadaceae.